UACGUAGGGUGCGAGCGUUAAUCGGAAUUACUGGGCGUAAAGCGUGCGCAGGCGGUUGUGCAAGACAGAUGUGAAAUCCCCGGGCUUAACCUGGGAAUUGCAUUUGUGACUGCACGGCUAGAGUGUGUCAGAGGGGGGGUAGAAUUCCACGUGUAGCAGUGAAAUGCGUAGAGAUGUGGAGGAAUACCGAUGGCGAAGGCAGCCCCCCUGGGAUAACACUGACGCUCAUGCACGAAAGCGUGGGGAGCAAACAGG
RNAcentral lists this ribosomal RNA (255 nucleotides) under uncultured bacterium. RNAcentral describes it as "partial 16S ribosomal RNA". It matches the Rfam family "Bacterial small subunit ribosomal RNA", at positions 524 to 776 of the family's 1533-position model. The record is from RNAcentral.